GGUUUUUGAUAUGAGACUUGAAGGAAAUGAAUGAUUCUAAGAAGUAGGUGUGAGGAAGAAUGGUAUUCGGUGGCUAACACACAGUAGAACUUUAUUGCUUUUUGAACUGAAUUGAUAGAAUCUAUAGAAAGUUGAUGGUCAUUUAAUUUUUUCCAGGACAGCAACAGUGGAGAAAAAAAUAGAAACAGUAUUGAAGGUUGGUUUGUGGUUGCAACUUUUCAAUUCCACGUUGUAGAAAUGCACAAAAGAUCAUGUAGACCUUGUGUUACUGUUACUGAAGAGGGGAAAAAAAAAAGGUCUUGAAAAAUCCCCUGCAGUAUUGAAACCUGCAGAAUAGCAAAUUUUCAUUUCCUUAGAAUUUAUCUGUCCAUUUCUCUCCUCUCAUAUUUGAAGUGAUGUUUUUUUGUGUGUAUUCUGUUUGCCCUUUGUAGUGAGGGAAGAGGAAAUGGAACAAUCAAGGACAGUCAGAUUAGCCUGACCUUUUGGCCCCAUGACUUAUUUGCCAUUUGGUGUCUAUUUGGAAAUGUUUGCUCUUGGAGAGAAGGCCCAUAAUCUUAAGUGCCUUCUUCAGCCACCUUCCUGACCACUGACCCAAAUUAUUCUCAUCUGACUAUUCUAAGGGGGGAAAUCUUCACAUGGUUGGGGUACGUAUAUACAAGCUUAAUAUAUACUUGCCAACUUGGCUUGUUGACCGUGCUUCCUUUCCAAAACCAGAUUAGCAGGGUUCUGAAGAAAGCCUGAGUUCAUCCUAAUGGCCAAAGAACUAACAAUGGAGCUGAUUAAUAUGAGCACUCACAUUUCUGU
RNAcentral lists this long non-coding RNA (804 nucleotides) under Monodelphis domestica (gray short-tailed opossum). Its description in RNAcentral is "lncRNA (ENSMODG00000045288.1)". Lineage: Eukaryota; Metazoa; Chordata; Mammalia; Didelphimorphia; Didelphidae. The record is from RNAcentral.